RNAcentral lists this ribosomal RNA (253 nucleotides) under uncultured bacterium. Its description in RNAcentral is "partial 16S ribosomal RNA". It matches the Rfam family "Bacterial small subunit ribosomal RNA", at positions 524 to 776 of the family's 1533-position model. The record is from RNAcentral.
UACGUAGGGGGCAAGCGUUGUCCGGAAUUAUUGGGCGUAAAGAGCGUGUAGGCGGUCCGGUAAGUCAGCUGUGAAAGUCAAGGGCUCAACCCUUGAAUGCCGGUUGAUACUGUCGGGCUAGAGUCCGGAAGAGGCGAGUGGAAUCCCCGGUGUAGCGGUGAAAUGCGCAGAUAUCGGGAGGAACACCAAUGGCGAAGGCAGCUCGCUGGGACGGUACUGACGCUGAGACGCGAAAGCGUGGGGAGCAAACAGG